AGCGAACGCUGGCGGCAGGCUUAACACAUGCAAGUCGAGCGGGCCCUUCGGGGUCAGCGGCAGACGGGUGAGUAACACGUGGGAACGUACCCUUUGGUUCGGAAUAACGCUGGGAAACUAGCGCUAAUACCGGAUACGCCCUUUUGGGGAAAGGCUUGCUGCCGCAGGAUCGGCCCGCGUCUGAUUAGCUAGUUGGUGGGGUAAUGGCCUACCAAGGCGACGAUCAGUAGCUGGUCUGAGAGGAUGAUCAGCCACACUGGGACUGAGACACGGCCCAGACUCCUACGGGAGGCAGCAGUGGGGAAUAUUGGACAAUGGGCGCAAGCCUGAUCCAGCCAUGCCGCGUGAGUGAUGAAGGCCUUAGGGUUGUAAAGCUCUUUUGUCCGGGACGAUAAUGACGGUACCGGAAGAAUAAGCCCCGGCUAACUUCGUG
Molecule: ribosomal RNA, 433 nt
Filed under: uncultured bacterium
Lineage: Bacteria
Description: partial 16S ribosomal RNA
Rfam family: Bacterial small subunit ribosomal RNA
Source: RNAcentral